Molecule: ribosomal RNA, 505 nt
Filed under: uncultured bacterium
Lineage: Bacteria
Description: partial 16S ribosomal RNA
Rfam family: Bacterial small subunit ribosomal RNA
Source: RNAcentral
GACGAACGCUGGCGGCGUGCCUAAUACAUGCAAGUAGAACGCACAGUUUAUACCGUAGCUUGCUACACCAUAGACUGUGAGUUGCGAACGGGUGAGUAACGCGUAGGUAACCUGCCUGGUAGCGGGGGAUAACUAUUGGAAACGAUAGCUAAUACCGCAUAAUAUUAAUUAUUGCAUGAUAAUUAAUUGAAAGGUGCAAUUGCACCACUACCAGAUGGACCUGCGUUGUAUUAGCUAGUAGGUGAGGUAACGGCUCACCUAGGCGACGAUACAUAGCCGACCUGAGAGGGUGAUCGGCCACACUGGGACUGAGACACGGCCCAGACUCCUACAGGAGGCAGCAGUAGGGAAUCUUCGACAAUGGACGAAAGUCUGACCGAGCAACGCCGCGUGAGUGAAGAAGGUUUUCGGAUCGUAAAGCUCUGUUGUAAGAGAAGAACGGGUGUGAGAGUGGAAAGUUCACACUGUGACGGUAUCUUACCAGAAAGGGACGGCUAACUACGUG